RNAcentral lists this ribosomal RNA (274 nucleotides) under uncultured bacterium. Its description in RNAcentral is "partial 16S ribosomal RNA". It matches the Rfam family "Bacterial small subunit ribosomal RNA", at positions 523 to 796 of the family's 1533-position model. The record is from RNAcentral.
CUACGGAAGGUGCAAGCGUUGUUCGGAUUUACUGGGCGUAAAGAGAUCGUAGGUGGUUUAUUAAGUCGGAUGUGAAAUCCCGGGGCUCAACCCCGGAACUGCAUUCGAUACUGGUAGACUAGAGUUUGGGAGGGGUAAGCGGAAUUCCGUGUGUAGCAGUGAAAUGCGUAGAUAUACGGAGGAACACCUGAGGCGAAGGCGGCUUACUGGACCAAUACUGACACUGUGGAUCGAAAGCGUGGGUAGCAAACAGGAUUAGAAACCCUAGUAGUCC